CACUCUGGAAGAGGAAGGUUGUCAACAUUGGAUUGUUUCAAAAGAUGCGAAUUUGUAUUUCCUUUUCACGAAGAGGUGACUGUGGCAUCUAUUGAGGAGACAACCGCGCGGAAGGACAAAGUAUGAAUUGUAUUGUGGUGAUUCAGAUUGAUGUUCCGAUUACGGACCCCCGGGAAAUUGACAACAGUCUCAUCGGAAUCCUUUAUGGCCUGGUGAAAUUGAGGGGCGAAAUGGUAAAAGGCUUCCGAUCAUUUCCUUUUUGACCUCAAUUUCAACUGCCCACAAAAUAUUACACAGAUGUGCACCCCAUUUAUCCAUCAUUUGUGUUGACGGAUUAAGGUAUGGUUGAGAGACCCAAGACUUUGAACACCUCCGAGAUCACAAGGUACAGAUUUCCCGACGAAAAAAAAGUCAAAAUUCUGAAAAAUUUUCAAAGUCCAAAAAGUUUUGGGACUGACGAUGUUAGUUCAUUUUGAGCAGAAAACAAAAAACCAGUGAAAAAUAUUUUUUGACUUAGAAAUUUUUUCCGGGUUAGGGUAAGGGUUAGUAGAAAAAAAGCCAAAAUUUUGAAAACUUUUCAAAGUCAAAAAAGUUUUGGGACUGAUGAUGUUGGUUCAUUUUGAGCAGAAAACAAAAGUGAAAAAAAUGUUUGGACUUAGAAAUGUUUUCAUCCUUCAGAGUUGAAUGGAGCCUGGAUACCUACCUCUCCAGACACAUUAAAGAGUAUGGUCAAUGUUAUACCAUACACAAGAAGGAGAGACAUGAGUGCGAUGCUUGGAGCUUGGUACAUCCGGGUGAUUUGCAGAUCAGCUGAAAGAACCAGACGGUGAUAAAACAAGAGGCGGUAUCCAACAUCCAGUGGCCAGCUUUCGGAAAGACAGGGCAGCAUCUGAUGGCACAUGCACGAACUGAGUAUUUCCAAGUUUGACAACCAUCGAUAGCCAAUCAACACCACAAAAUUACGCAAUUUGGUGGGAAACGGGAGUAAUCGAUAAUACGCAAUAAUCAAGCGAACCGUCCUGCAGAAAAGCUAACGAGAUAAAACUCGGUCAGAACUAAACACAGAAAACGCCAAUGCACUCGAUUCCAGAUCUGUACAUGACUGAUACAUCACAAGAGAAUACACUUAUUGUCCAACACCGCUUUAUACACAACAAACCGCAAUCAAAGUAGGGACCGGCGAUAAUAUUUGCAAA
Molecule: long non-coding RNA, 1196 nt
Organism: Lineus longissimus
Lineage: Eukaryota; Metazoa; Nemertea; Pilidiophora; Heteronemertea; Lineidae
Exons: 2
Source: RefSeq, a predicted model, not a curated record